Molecule: ribosomal RNA, 58 nt
Filed under: Umbilicaria herrei
Lineage: Eukaryota; Fungi; Ascomycota; Lecanoromycetes; Umbilicariales; Umbilicariaceae
Description: partial 28S ribosomal RNA
Source: RNAcentral
UGACCUCGGAUCAGUAGGGAUACCCGCUGAACUUAAGCAUAUCAUAAACCCGGAGGGA